Molecule: long non-coding RNA, 262 nt
Filed under: Glycine max (soybean)
Lineage: Eukaryota; Viridiplantae; Streptophyta; Magnoliopsida; Fabales; Fabaceae
Description: long non-coding RNA (GMAX_LNC000607)
Source: RNAcentral
AGAUUUACUCUAGAUUAUAACUUUCAUAUUAGAAAGAUAAUUGCAGUAACUCUUCACUUGUAUUUACAUACCUAUUAAGAAGUUCCCUGAGUUCAACACUGUACACGUUGUCAUCUUCAAGAAAAUAAAAUCCACGAAUUCUACCAACUGGAGCACUUUCAUGAUCAGAAGGUCCUCCCAACCAAUUUUCCACAGCCUCUUGGAAGCCACCAUCUUCUUGCCACACUUCAUGAGAUUCUUGCAGACGAGAGUUUUCUCCAUC